UACGGGGGGAGCAAGCGUUGUUCGGAUUUACUGGGCGUAAAGGGCGCGUAGGCGGCCACCGCAAGUCGACUGUGAAAUCUCCGGGCUUAACCCGGAAACUGCCAUUGAUACUAUUUGUCUUGAAUACUGUGGAGGUCAGCGGAAUAUGUCAUGUAGCGGUGAAAUGCUUAGAUAUGACAUAGAACACCAAUUGCGAAGGCAGCUGGCUACACAAAUAUUGACACUGAGGCACGAAAGCGUGGGGAUCAAACAGG
RNAcentral lists this ribosomal RNA (254 nucleotides) under uncultured bacterium. RNAcentral describes it as "partial 16S ribosomal RNA". It matches the Rfam family "Bacterial small subunit ribosomal RNA", at positions 524 to 776 of the family's 1533-position model. The record is from RNAcentral.